CUUUGCUGGCUGAGUGAUCGUGUGUCAGGGAUCUCAUUCUUUAUGGAUGUCAGUCCAGCCACUUGCUUAAUUUGCAACAACGGAUGGAUGCCCGCCCUCCCAGUCUAUCCGGCCUGCAGCUGUGGGGCUCAGCUUCCAACGCGCUUCCCUCCGAGGCAACGUGCUGCCACGAAGGACUGAAAAAAUCCCACUGCUGUGCAUGCAAGGCAGAAAAACCGACAGCAACAGAAGAAGCCGCAUGUACAAGGAUGAGGGGAGAGCUGACCAACCAAGCAUGGGAAGGAGGAAGAUAAGAAGAACCCUACCCACUGAUGGGAGCAGAAACCAAAACAAACAUCCUUGGGAAACCACAGGUCAUUAUCUAGAUAUGCACAUCAAGACCCAGAGAUGAGAUGACAGCAAUCAGGGCAGCAUCAAAAGCGCCAACACCCAGCCCCCUGCCUCCUUCCACCCAACCUCGCUGCAGAGCACGAACUCUCGCUAGGACACACCCGACAUUCAGUACCGCACUGCAGGCAGGGGCAGGAGCUGAAUGUUGACAGCUUGUCUGCGGUAGGGAUGGCGUGUCUUACUCCCACAGAGACUCUAUCAGGAGAAAAAUACUGAAUAACUCCUACCUCAGUACAGUGAGGUUAAAUCCAAUUUAGUGGUUUUGCAAAAACUUGAGGCUGGCCAAUCGGAGUAAUGAAUACAAAUGGCAUUCCGGUUAUGUUUACUUUACCACAAUAAAAAAGGUUUUAAUUGGCAUUCCAAGGAGUUGGUUGAACUUAAAUGCUUAGCCAUUGAAAACCAAUGUUCUACCCCCAUACAUGCUGAUAGCUACAUUCUUCAAAAACCAACUUUUUUCCUUCUAACAAUAUUUAUGUAAUUGAGACAUGUAUUCCCUUUGAUUUGGGGAUCCCACUUCUAGAAAUGUGUCCUAGAGAUAUAUUCAUGCAUAAAGGCAAUGACGAUCUACAGAUAAGAAUGUCUACUCAAGCAACAUUUGCAA
Molecule: long non-coding RNA, 991 nt
Organism: Mustela erminea (ermine)
Lineage: Eukaryota; Metazoa; Chordata; Mammalia; Carnivora; Mustelidae
Exons: 3
Source: RefSeq, a predicted model, not a curated record